This is a small nuclear RNA of Tupaia belangeri (northern tree shrew), 103 nucleotides long. Lineage: Eukaryota; Metazoa; Chordata; Mammalia; Scandentia; Tupaiidae. The record is from Ensembl.
UUGCUUCAGCAGCACAUAUACUAAAAUUGAAAUGAUACAGAGAAGGUUAGCAUGGCCCCUGUGCAAGGAUGGCAUGCAAAUUCGUGAAGCGUUCCAUAUUUCU